Molecule: ribosomal RNA, 253 nt
Filed under: uncultured bacterium
Lineage: Bacteria
Description: partial 16S ribosomal RNA
Rfam family: Bacterial small subunit ribosomal RNA
Source: RNAcentral
UACGUAGGGUGCAAGCGUUGUCCGGAAUUAUUGGGCGUAAAGAGCUCGUAGGCGGUUUGUCGCGUCUGCUGUGAAAACCCGAGGCUCAACCUCGGGCCUGCAGUGGGUACGGGCAGACUAGAGUGCGGUAGGGGAGAUUGGAAUUCCUGGUGUAGCGGUGGAAUGCGCAGAUAUCAGGAGGAACACCAAUGGCGAAGGCAGAUCUCUGGGCCGGAACUGACGCUGAGGAGCGAAAGCGUGGGGAGCGAACAGG